RNAcentral lists this ribosomal RNA (1430 nucleotides) under Lactiplantibacillus pentosus. RNAcentral describes it as "bacterial SSU rRNA". It matches the Rfam family "Bacterial small subunit ribosomal RNA". RNAcentral also lists the same sequence under 1 other name. Lineage: Bacteria; Bacillati; Bacillota; Bacilli; Lactobacillales; Lactobacillaceae. The record is from RNAcentral.
UGCAAGUCGAACGAACUCUGGUAUUGAUUGGUGCUUGCAUCAUGAUUUACAUUUGAGUGAGUGGCGAACUGGUGAGUAACACGUGGGAAACCUGCCCAGAAGCGGGGGAUAACACCUGGAAACAGAUGCUAAUACCGCAUAACAACUUGGACCGCAUGGUCCGAGUUUGAAAGAUGGCUUCGGCUAUCACUUUUGGAUGGUCCCGCGGCGUAUUAGCUAGAUGGUGGGGUAACGGCUCACCAUGGCAAUGAUACGUAGCCGACCUGAGAGGGUAAUCGGCCACAUUGGGACUGAGACACGGCCCAAACUCCUACGGGAGGCAGCAGUAGGGAAUCUUCCACAAUGGACGAAAGUCUGAUGGAGCAACGCCGCGUGAGUGAAGAAGGGUUUCGGCUCGUAAAACUCUGUUGUUAAAGAAGAACAUAUCUGAGAGUAACUGUUCAGGUAUUGACGGUAUUUAACCAGAAAGCCACGGCUAACUACGUGCCAGCAGCCGCGGUAAUACGUAGGUGGCAAGCGUUGUCCGGAUUUAUUGGGCGUAAAGCGAGCGCAGGCGGUUUUUUAAGUCUGAUGUGAAAGCCUUCGGCUCAACCGAAGAAGUGCAUCGGAAACUGGGAAACUUGAGUGCAGAAGAGGACAGUGGAACUCCAUGUGUAGCGGUGAAAUGCGUAGAUAUAUGGAAGAACACCAGUGGCGAAGGCGGCUGUCUGGUCUGUAACUGACGCUGAGGCUCGAAAGUAUGGGUAGCAAACAGGAUUAGAUACCCUGGUAGUCCAUACCGUAAACGAUGAAUGCUAAGUGUUGGAGGGUUUCCGCCCUUCAGUGCUGCAGCUAACGCAUUAAGCAUUCCGCCUGGGGAGUACGGCCGCAAGGCUGAAACUCAAAGGAAUUGACGGGGGCCCGCACAAGCGGUGGAGCAUGUGGUUUAAUUCGAAGCUACGCGAAGAACCUUACCAGGUCUUGACAUACUAUGCAAAUCUAAGAGAUUAGACGUUCCCUUCGGGGACAUGGAUACAGGUGGUGCAUGGUUGUCGUCAGCUCGUGUCGUGAGAUGUUGGGUUAAGUCCCGCAACGAGCGCAACCCUUAUUAUCAGUUGCCAGCAUUAAGUUGGGCACUCUGGUGAGACUGCCGGUGACAAACCGGAGGAAGGUGGGGAUGACGUCAAAUCAUCAUGCCCCUUAUGACCUGGGCUACACACGUGCUACAAUGGAUGGUACAACGAGUUGCGAACUCGCGAGAGUAAGCUAAUCUCUUAAAGCCAUUCUCAGUUCGGAUUGUAGGCUGCAACUCGCCUACAUGAAGUCGGAAUCGCUAGUAAUCGCGGAUCAGCAUGCCGCGGUGAAUACGUUCCCGGGCCUUGUACACACCGCCCGUCACACCAUGAGAGUUUGUAACACCCAAAGUCGGUGGGGUAACCUUUUAGGAACCA